This is a long non-coding RNA of Neofelis nebulosa (Clouded leopard), 1364 nucleotides long. RefSeq lists it as uncharacterized. The record is from RefSeq and is a predicted model, not a curated record. Lineage: Eukaryota; Metazoa; Chordata; Mammalia; Carnivora; Felidae. The transcript is spliced from 3 exons.
UUAAUUGUUAGCUAAAGGUUCAGUCCGUGAGCAGGAACACCAAGGUUUUGAUACAAAGUAUCAAAACAAGGGCUGACGAGAUGGAAACGCUCCUGGAAUCCUGACAAGGAGUUUGUUGCAUCAGCAUCUCAGAGGAGGUAACGUAUGUGGGGAUCUUCCAUACACGGCGCCAUUUCCCUCCCUCACUCCCUCUUCCUCCUUCUUCUCUUCUGAAAAUUAAGUGCAUCAAGUUCUAACUUUUACACAGGCAGUUAAACGAGGCCUGGCCCACCUACCUUGGAGCGAGCCUAAACACCCUAAACACACCUGCACCGGGUGAGCGAUACAAUUUCAAAUGUUCAUAUGAUGCUCUCAGGAGACUCCAUGCUCCAACUCCUUUCUUUUUCCCAGAGACGCCCUAGAUCAGGGGCCAAAGGAUACUGAAGCAUUCCUUCCUUCCUUUCCAUAUCCGCCCUUCUUUUCUCCAACCUAGUCAGCAAGCAAUUUAGCUGCUUAGUUAAUGCAGAAAAGAUACAUAUAUAUUUCAUUUCUGGGACUGUUUUUGCAGAACCUGUUACAUUGUAUAUCUUCAGCAAAGCGCUGGAUCUUUAGAUCAAUAUUCAUUCAUGCCCAGUGCUCUUUACUAUGGGUCUUCCCAGAUCCCAGGGUAUUUUAAUGAUCAUUAAUCAAUUUACUCUCCUUUUUUUUUUUUUUUCUUCUCUCAAACACUUCCACAUCGGAGUUUGUCUGAUGACUCAUAAGGGCACCGUACCAAAGAUUAAGGAUUAAGUUUAAUAACUGUAAAUUUCAGAGAACUGAUUUUCAAGUGUGAUAAAAGUUGAAGCACUUUGGUGUUUACAAGAUACCAUACUUCUCUAAAUGUCACCUCCUAAGUUCUUCAAUCCCCUGUUCUGUUUUACAUGCGAGCAUUUCUCUGGCUGCUGAGCAUCUGGUCAGUAAUCGCCUUAACCUUACAAAGAAGUGGGUUCCGGCGGUGUUGGCCUCCCCUGCUCUCUGCAACGGUAAUGGUGGAAAUAGGCCCGGAAAAAUGAACAAUUCGCUUACGAGAAAGGAGAGAAACUUUACAGAACUGACUCUUAUUUGCUUGCCCCCCAAAAUAUAUUAUGGUAGUUAUAUUCUUUCUUUGACGGCUGGAUUUUGUUUAUGGUCAUCAAAUACACCCUUUGUUGUUGUUUUUUUUUUUUUUUUCUGAUCAUCCCCUCCCUGUCUCCAUGUUACUUCCAUCUUGUUUAUUCUUCACAAUAGUAUACUUUUGACUAGAAAGGAACACGUUUUUUUUCCACAACUCUCCAAAUCCUUCUCCCCAUCUAUGUUAAAGAUAAACUAAUAAGCCAUAAGAAAAAUGCACCAGACCACCUGGACAU